Long non-coding RNA from Bos taurus (domestic cattle), 2100 nucleotides. The record is from Ensembl. Lineage: Eukaryota; Metazoa; Chordata; Mammalia; Artiodactyla; Bovidae.
GAAGGGCCUCCCCAACAAGGCUUCCUGGACCAGCCACGGAGAGGCCUCACUGGCCGUCAGCUCCGUCUGUGUGCUCUUCCCACAGGCAUCCUGGAGGCGGGGAGGGAGCUCGGGGGCGUCUUCCGUGUGCGCCGGGCACUGACUAUGUGCUGAGCACAAAGUAGGAGAUGUGAGCCUAACACUCAAGCAGUCUCUGUGCUUCCCAGUCAGUGCUAGUGGUAAAGAACCCGCCUGGCAAUGCAGGAGAAGCAAGAGACGCGGGUUUGAUCCCUGAGUCGGAAAGCUUGCCUGGAGGAGGGCAUGGCAACCCUCUCCUGUAUGCUAGCCUGGAGAAUCCCAUGGACAGAGGAGCCCAUACAGCCCACAGGGUUGCAACGAGUCAGAUACAACUUAGCUCUAUGCAAGAAGUUUCCAACCUACUGAGAAAAGGAAAAAAAAAAAAACCAAGCCAAGUUUCUUCAAGCAUGCAAUUCCAUGCCCUGGGGAGCUUAUUCUACAGAAUCCAGGUGGGUGUGGAGAGACCCCUGAGCGCUGGAGGAGGACAUGCUUCCUGGUGAAGAUGCAACCUGAGGUUGGCCAGGAAAAACCAGCAGAAGGGAUACAUCCACUGUACAAAUAAAUCCAAUUCUAAAAUACUACUGUUGAACUUACUAGAAAUGUCCCAAGAGCAAAUGCAGGUGCUAAUGAGUAUACAGAACUUGUAAAGGAAUAAAAUGUAGAAAUGUAUUAAAGGGGAAAGAUGGGAAGAAGGGCCAAAGGUGACCAAGAAAGAAGUUAUUGGAAGAGGAAGAAUGUCAGAAAGGCUGGCAGCCAGACAGAGUCCAGGCCCGCAGGGUAUUCUAGGGACAGCAGGAGUCUCCGCAUCCACCCCUAGCUUAGGAGAACAAAGAAAGACCUGAGCCCAUGGAGCAGGCAGCAGAGAGGAUCCGUGUCCCUCAAGUGUCCCAGCCAACGUGCACCGUGGAGACCCCCUCUCUUAGGCCCAGUGUUUUGUUUCUGUGGGAUCUCAGUUCCCCAACUAGGGUUUGAACUCGCAGCCCCUGCAUUGGAAACAUGGAGUCUUAACCACUGGACCGCCAGGGAAAUCUCUUAACUCUCUCUGACAGAGCCGAUACCCCAGCAGAGCAAAGACAUGGUGGAGGCAGACCUUAUCCAGAUGCUAGCAGGGCGGCUGAUUAAGGCGCUCAUUUAAAUCCCAGGGGAAUCCAUCUGAAAUGAUGUCCUCAUGCUGAUAGGAUUCGGUCAGCGUCUCCCGAGUGUUUUAUGGGUUCCACCAGAUAACCCUCUCCACACAUAAAAAGAUAUUCCACAGUCUUAACAAUUCACUUGGCACAAUAAUAAAGACUCUGAGAACUUUGUUUUUUUUUUUUUUUUACAAGUAAGCCUAUUAAUAUUGAGAGAAACAGUUCUUCCAUGAGACGCGUUGUGCAAGCACACCGUUGGCUGCGUAGCUGCACGAAGGGGCCACUGCUCAGCAUCAGCUGCUGGGAACGUCUCUAAUCCAGAUCAGCAGGCGGUGAGCUAGAACCUGGUCAGCCCAACUUUUUCUUUUUUAAUCAGUGACUUGUGUAAGGGGUAAAAUCCAUGCUUAUCAGUGAUUGCUGGAAAGACAGUUAAUGAAACAGAAGGCAGGGUCAGAAAUCAAAAUCACCUGAGCAGUGACUACUCGGUGCUCCUUUCUGGGCGGCAUUUACAUUAACUGGACAGGAGUGUUCCAGGGGAGACCUGACUCAGCAACCGGUCACGCCUGGCCCCCAAGCACAAGCUGAGCCAAGACCAUAAGAGUAACACAGCCCAGAGCCACGUGGACAGAAGUUUGCUGCCCAGACCUUGUCUGGAGUGCACCUUCCAGCCUAGACGCUACAUUCAGAGAGGGCCACCUGAGACUGAAUUACAUGCGCAAGAGUUUCGACAGUGUGAAAAAUUCCAUUAUAUGAAAACUAUUUGAAUCUAUUAAAUACGCUUAGUGAGAAUAAGAGAAGACCAAGAGGCGGAGGUACUGAUUCGUCUUCGACGUAUAAACAGUCUUCUUCUGCACAUUGUACAAAACUCGGUCGAGUGCUCGGUCUGGAUAGUGAACCAAGGGCAGGCGUAGAAUCU